This 409-nucleotide ribosomal RNA is filed under the name Listeria monocytogenes. RNAcentral's name for it is "partial 23S ribosomal RNA". It matches the Rfam family "Bacterial large subunit ribosomal RNA", at positions 1 to 403 of the family's 2925-position model. The record is from RNAcentral. RNAcentral also lists the same sequence under 1 other name. Lineage: Bacteria; Bacillati; Bacillota; Bacilli; Caryophanales; Listeriaceae.
GGUUAAGUUAGAAAGGGCGCACGGUGGAUGCCUUGGCACUAGGAGCCGAAGAAGGACGGGACUAACACCGAUAUGCUUUGGGGAGCUGUACGUAAGCGUUGAUCCAGAGAUUUCCGAAUGGGGGAACCCACUAUCUUUAGUCGGAUAGUAUCCUUACGUGAAUACAUAGCGUGAGGAAGGCAGACCCAGGGAACUGAAACAUCUAAGUACCUGGAGGAAGAGAAAGAAAAAUCGAUUUCCUGAGUAGCGGCGAGCGAAACGGAAAGAGCCCAAACCAAGAAGCUUGCUUCUUGGGGUUGUAGGACACUCUAUACGGAGUUACAAAAGAAAGUUAUAAAUGAAGCGGUCUGGAAAGGCCCGCCAAAGACGGUAACAGCCCGGUAGUUGAAAUGGCUUUCCCUCCAGAGUG